RNAcentral lists this small RNA (28 nucleotides) under Bombyx mori (domestic silkworm). RNAcentral describes it as "ovarian small RNA-31653". Lineage: Eukaryota; Metazoa; Arthropoda; Insecta; Lepidoptera; Bombycidae. The record is from RNAcentral.
UGACCUUCACCGGGGGGAAGCCGAUAUA